Camelina sativa (false flax) is the source of this 361-nucleotide non-coding RNA. Lineage: Eukaryota; Viridiplantae; Streptophyta; Magnoliopsida; Brassicales; Brassicaceae. The record is from RefSeq and is a predicted model, not a curated record.
CUCAGGAAGCGAUCUUCAAGCACUCUGUUGGCAUAUAUAUUCUGUUUUUGCUUGCCCUAAUCAUUUACUUGGAUCUAAUGUUUUGCAGGAGCUACUAAGUACUAACAAGUAACAAGCUACAGGAGUUGGAUGAUGCAGUGCUUAGGAGAUUGGUGAAGAGAAUAUAUGUACCAUUGACAGAAAACUAAACUGAAGCGUCAGCCUCACUCUUUAUCCUCUGCGUUCCGCGGAAACGGGUUGUUCGGGUCGGGUUGUUCGGUUUUUUUCUAAUUCGGGCUUUUUCAAAUUUCACCGAAUUGAAGUUAAAUUGAAAUACGGUUCGGUACGGACGGUACUCGGGUUAAUCGGGUCCGUUACCUAA